UACGGGGGGGGCAAGCGUUGUUCGGAAUUACUGGGCGUAAAGGGCGCGUAGGCGGCCUGCUAAGUCGGAUGUGAAAUCCCUCGGCUCAACCGAGGAACUGCAUCCGAUACUGGCGGGCUUGAAUCCGGGAGAGGGAUGUGGAAUUCCAGGUGUAGCGGUGAAAUGCGUAGAUAUCAGGAGGAACACCGGUGGCGAAGGCGGAUCUCUGGGCCGUAACUGACGCUGAGGAGCGAAAGCAUGGGGAGCGAACAGG
RNAcentral lists this ribosomal RNA (253 nucleotides) under uncultured bacterium. Its description in RNAcentral is "partial 16S ribosomal RNA". It matches the Rfam family "Bacterial small subunit ribosomal RNA", at positions 524 to 776 of the family's 1533-position model. The record is from RNAcentral.